Helianthus annuus (common sunflower) is the source of this 277-nucleotide long non-coding RNA. RefSeq lists it as uncharacterized. The record is from RefSeq and is a predicted model, not a curated record. The transcript is spliced from 2 exons. NCBI's taxonomy places the organism in Eukaryota, Viridiplantae, Streptophyta, Magnoliopsida, Asterales, Asteraceae.
AGAGGACUCAUAUCAAGAUGGACUCAAGCAUGAAAGGCUAACGGGUCAAGAGGAGGCAAGGAAGUGGAUACGGACACGGAUGCAUAAGGUUGUACGAAUCACGGGCGGUUAUCACGAGCAAUAGAGAUCGAAGACCGAGUCAUAAGAUAGAUUGUACGGGAAUAAUUGAGUAUGUACUUUAGUAAGCAGGACUUACACUUUGUUUUUGUAAAAGAUACAUAUUAAAAUGAACUUUCAAGUAGGUCAAGAUGUUUGUAAUGAAAGAAAUUUUAUGGCA